Molecule: ribosomal RNA, 431 nt
Filed under: uncultured bacterium
Lineage: Bacteria
Description: partial 16S ribosomal RNA
Rfam family: Bacterial small subunit ribosomal RNA
Source: RNAcentral
ACGCACGCUGGCGGCAUGCCUAACACCUGCAAGUCGCACGAGACCUUCGGGUCUAGUGGCGCACGGGUGCGUAACGCGUGGGAACCUGCCCUUAGGUUCGGAAUAACUCCCCGAAAGGGGUGCUAAUACCGGAUAAUGUCUUCGGACCAAAGAUUUAUCGCCUUUGGAUGGGCCCGCGUUGGAUUAGCUAGUUGGUAGGGUAAAAGCCUACCAAGGCGACGAUCCAUAGCUGGUCUGAGAGGAUGAUCAGCCACACUGGGACUGAGACACGGCCCAGACUCCUACGGGAGGCAGCAGUGGGGAAUAUUGGACAAUGGGCGAAAGCCUGAUCCAGCAAUGCCGCGUGAGUGAUGAAGGCCUUAGGGUUGUAAAGCUCUUUUACCCGGGAUGAUAAUGACAGUACCGGGAGAAUAAGCUCCGGCUAACUCCGU